Molecule: transfer RNA, 65 nt
Filed under: Potamiscus yiwuensis
Lineage: Eukaryota; Metazoa; Arthropoda; Malacostraca; Decapoda; Potamidae
Also listed under: 1 other name
Description: tRNA-Ile
Source: RNAcentral
AAUAUAGUGCCUGAAUUUAAAGGGUAGCUUUGAUAGAGCUAAUAAUGUGUCCUACACCUAUAUUA